Molecule: long non-coding RNA, 478 nt
Organism: Spodoptera frugiperda (fall armyworm)
Lineage: Eukaryota; Metazoa; Arthropoda; Insecta; Lepidoptera; Noctuidae
Exons: 5
Source: RefSeq, a predicted model, not a curated record
CUGGGAAUUGAGCUCGGACUAACUGCUUUGCUGAGUGAGUCAGAAUACCGGAGACAACAACUACUUCAAACGUACAAUAACGUGACGUAAAGUUGUAUUUGGAUCAGCUGGCUGUGACCUGUUCUCUCCGUCGUCAUCGAAGAUUUAGUAUAAAACGAGGCGUUUAUGGAACACAGACAUCAGUUCAACCUGAAAAUUGUUACAAUGAAAUUCUUCGCCUUCUUCACGUUGUUCGUGUGCGCCAUCUUGGCUCUGGCCAGCGGUGGAGAGGUGUACUACAGACAGGUGCGCAGCCCAGUGCCUGUCCAGGACGCAGCGCCAGCACCAGGCCACCACCACCACCAUCACCACUACGGAUACGGCUACGGAUACCACUGAUAUGGAAGUGAUUGGCUAUUGAUUGAUUAAAAAUUUUGUUAAGUUUACGAUUGGGUUAUUGUUUAGUAUGAGGUAUAAUAAUAAAAUAUUUUGUAGUUAA